This 919-nucleotide ribosomal RNA is filed under the name bacterium enrichment culture clone L55B-106. Its description in RNAcentral is "bacterial SSU rRNA". It matches the Rfam family "Bacterial small subunit ribosomal RNA", at positions 8 to 916 of the family's 1533-position model. The record is from RNAcentral.
AGAGUUUGAUCAUGGCUCAGGACUAACGCUGGCGGCGUGCCUAACACAUGCAAGUCGAACGCAUCUGUGCUUCGGUACAGAUGAGUGGCGAACGGGUGAGUAACACGUGAGUGACUCCCCUUGGGGAGGGGGAUAACCAUCUGAAAAGGUGGCUAAUACCCCAUAUUCUCCUUUUUUGCCAAAGAAAGGAGGAAAGAUGGCGUAAGCUAUCACCCCGAGAGAGGCUCGCGUCCCAUCAGCUAGUUGGUAGGGUAAUGGCCUACCAAGGCUAUGACGGGUAGCUGGUCUGAGAGGAUGGUCAGCCACACUGGGACUGAGACACGGCCCAGACUCCUACGGGAGGCAGCAGUGAGGAAUCUUGGGCAAUGGGCGAAAGCCUGACCCAGCGACGCCGCGUGGAGGAAGAAGGCCUUCGGGUCGUAAACUCCUGUUCGGGGAGAAGAACAGGAGAGAAGUGAAUGACUUCUCUCCCUGACGGUAUCCCCGGAGAAAGCUCCGGCUAAUUACGUGCCAGCAGCCGCGGUAAUACGUAAGGAGCGAGCGUUGUCCGGAUUUACUGGGCGUAAAGAGCUCGUAGGUGGUUUCUUAGGUCUCACGUGAAAUUCCCUGGCUCAACUGGGGAGGGUCGUGGGAAACCGAGAAGCUAGAGGGCAGGAGAGGAGAGUGGAAUUCCCGGUGUAGCGGUGAAAUGCGUAGAGAUCGGGAGGAACACCAGUGGUGAAGACGGCUCUCUGGACUGUCCCUGACACUGAGGAGCGAAAGCCAGGGGAGCAAACCGGAUUAGAUACCCGGGUAGUCCUGGCUGUAAACGAUGGGUACUAGGUGUGGGGGGUUCGACCCCCUCCGUGCCGCAGUUAACGCAUUAAGUACCCCGCCUGGGGAGUACGGCCGCAAGGGUUGAAACUCAAUGAAUUGACGG